UCCAGACUCCUACGGGAGGCAGCAGUGGGGAAUAUUGCACAAUGGGGGGAACCUUGAUGCAGCAACGCCGCGUGGGUGAAGAAGUACUCCGGUAUGUAAAGCCCUGUCAGCAGGGGAGAAAAUGACGGUACCUGACCAAGAAGCCCCGGCUAACUACGUGCCAGCAGCCGCGGUAAUACGUAGGGGGCAAGCGUUAUCCGGAUUCACUGGGUGUAAAGGGAGCGUAGACGGCGACGCAAGUCUGGAGUGAAAGCCCGGGGCCCAACCCCGGGACUGCUCUGGAAACUGCGUCGCUGGAGUACGGGAGGGGCAGGCGGAAUUCCUGGUGUAGCGGUGAAAUGCGUAGAUAUCAGGAGGAACACCGGCGGCGAAGGCGGCCUGCUGGACCGUGACUGACGUUGAGGCUCGAGAGCGUGGGGAGCAAACAGGAUUAGAUACCCCGGUAC
Molecule: ribosomal RNA, 446 nt
Filed under: uncultured bacterium
Lineage: Bacteria
Description: bacterial SSU rRNA
Rfam family: Bacterial small subunit ribosomal RNA
Source: RNAcentral